Cottoperca gobio is the source of this 1402-nucleotide long non-coding RNA. RefSeq lists it as uncharacterized. The transcript has 2 exons. NCBI's taxonomy places the organism in Eukaryota, Metazoa, Chordata, Actinopteri, Perciformes, Bovichtidae. The record is from RefSeq and is a predicted model, not a curated record.
AAAAUGUCUCUGCUGGUUCUUUGAUACAUUGGUGUCAUUUCCUCUGCGGAGUAUACAAAACCUCCUGCACAAACAUUGUCUUUUUGAAAAGCAAACUACCGUCUAUUGUGAUCGCAAAAGAAAAAAUGGCAGCCAGCAGAACUACAUCAUACACCUCGCCUUACAAUUGACAGACGUGCAGACGUUCCUCUGUUUGGUUGUCCAUGAAAGGAUUCAGGUCUCCCGUUUACACGCAGUUUCAAGUGUCACACAGCAAACAGCUGAUCCACCCGCCUUCACUGAGGGGGGUACUAUCUGCAUGUAGAGCCGUUGAUGCAGCUUUAGAGACAUCACCAUCAUCAUCCCACUCUCCUCAGACUCAACUGUGAUUGGUUCACAGGAAAGGUGUGACUCACAAGUUUAGAAACACCACGCAGCUGCUCAUAAAAACAAUCUGUGCCAGAGAGUUAUGACUGUGCUAGCUCCAUACACUGUACAAGAACACUGUUGUUCUUUUAAAUGUAAUCAACUGAAUAGUUGAUUGCAUUUAGACAUUUAAAAGAACAACAGUGUUUUUAUAGAGUUGAUAAAACUUACAAAUCCGAUGGAUUUCUUCAAUGAUUAUUUAUCUGUGUUAAAAGGAGAUUUUGUUGUCGUUAGCUGAAGAAUUUCAAUCUAAUAUUGCAUCCCAUGAUGCAUUGCGAUCAGAGGCUUUUGCUGAUGCCUUGACUGUGUAAAUAAUCCCCUGCAGUGACUGCACACUUGGAUGAUAUUGUAAGACUUGCUCCCAGGACGUAGUGAGCAAUCAAUGCAUAUGUAGUUGUUCCGUUUUUAUACAUUUUAUUUGUGUACUUGAGAUGCAAAUGAACAGGAAGUGACAUCGUAAGGAAAGAAGCCUCGUCAAUUGGAGCGAGUAAUUAAUUUAUUCGGAGUUGCGCUGUUCGGAGAUGCAGACCCUGAGCGCACGGACCAACAGCUGAUUUUGAUUUCUGUAAAGUGAUGGAGAAUGAGGAGCAGACUGUUUUCUUACUCACCAAGAGGGAAUUGAUCCCAGCUGAGGAUUGUAAGUGUGAAUAAUAAGCAAUUUGAUGCAAGCAGAAGGUCCUUGUAUGGAUGAAGAGUUGUGUACAGAGCAGGCAGGACAUCAGUGUGUCCCCUGGUGUGUGAGGAGUGAGCUGUGGCUCUGUCUCACUGUAGACAGGAUCUGCUUUCAGGCAUGGCAAAGCUAACUUUUUGUAUAAAAACGGAUGGGAAAACAACAGGACCUUUCUGUAAAAAAGUGGCAAUAUUUUUUUGAUGUGUGUUGGUUAGAAUGUUGUGGUUUUUUUCCCUGGUUCCUAAGACUUGGGAGAACAUUUUUCUGAAGUCCAAAGCUUUGGUUCUUAUUCUCUGUAUGGUAUGAAUAAAUUUCUGUGAAAUUACA